This 450-nucleotide ribosomal RNA is filed under the name uncultured bacterium. RNAcentral's name for it is "partial 16S ribosomal RNA". It matches the Rfam family "Bacterial small subunit ribosomal RNA", at positions 354 to 796 of the family's 1533-position model. The record is from RNAcentral.
GUGGGGAAUUUUGGACAAUGGGCGCAAGCCUGAUCCAGCAAUGCCGCGUGCAGGAAGAAGGCCUUCGGGUUGUAAACUGCUUUUGUACGGAACGAAACGGUCCGGGUUAAUACCCUGGGCUAAUGACGGUACCGUAAGAAUAAGCACCGGCUAACUACGUGCCAGCAGCCGCGGUAAUACGGAGGGUGCAAGCGUUAAUCGGAAUUACUGGGCGUAAAGCGUGCGCAGGCGGUUUUGUAAGACAGGCGUGAAAUCCCCGGGCUCAACCUGGGAAUUGCGCUUGUGACUGCAAGGCUGGAGUUCGGCAGAGGGGGAUGGAAUUCCGCGUGUAGCAUGGAAAUGCGUAGAUAUUCGGAGGAACACCGAUGGCGAAGGCAAUCCCCUGGGCCUGCACUGACGCUCAUGCACGAAAGCGUGGGGAGCAAACAGGAUUAGAAACCCUGGUAGUCC